CAACCAACCAAAUUACAAACCAACAACUGUCUUAUCUUUUGGCUUUUUCGAGUUUUGACCUCAGUCAAAUGCACACUUAUCAUGGUCUGUUUGUUUGCCUAGAAAACUGAGAAAAGUGUAGGGAAAACCACUUCGAAAAUCCUGUCUUCAUUUUCUCUUCCUUUCCCACUGUUUUCCUGGCACUCGAAUGGAGCAUCAGCAGAGACAUCCCCCGUGGAACGUUUUCGGGCUAUGUGUGCCUGUAUUGUAAUCACUAACCAUCUACUCUCUUCCCGAAUGUAGAGUAUAAUUGAGUUGACAAAUUAAAGCAAGGGUGGACAAAAUUGAGGGCCUCUUGCACCUAAUCAGGCUGCAGAAUAUUUUCAUUUACGAAGCUUAAACUUAAAUCUUGUUGUUUCAAGGCUCUACUGCAUUGAGUAAAAUGUUGCAGAAACAGGAAGGCUUAUGUUGAUAAAUGUGUUGAAGGCAUGAAUAUCGAUUAUGAGCUGCUCUGACAUUAUAUAUCCUACCAUUUUAGAUACGUGGCAGGACUGAGCUGACUGUACAUUUGGCAGAAAGCUGAUCACUACAAUGCUAUGCCGAACAGACCGAACCUUUUGAUUUGUUGCUAUACAAGUUGACUUUUAAAAUCUUUCUCAUGCUCUAGCAUCAGCUCUUGCAUUAAAAUUAGCUUUGGGUUCAGGUAAAUGACUUUUUCCAACGGCUGAAGCCAGAGACAGGUUCUAAGAAGAAAUAGACCAGUCAUAUUCUGAUGAGGUGUUCUUCUCAAUACGGUAGACAAAUUCACAUCACUGCUAUGUAAAGAAUGUCCAAACAAUUGCAUGUUUCUAUUGUCCAAGUUUGGCUCUUUACCUGUUGGUUGAGUACUAGAACUUGCUCUCAAAAUGUUUUCAUACAUUUGGCAGAGUUGAGGUAUACCAUACAUGGUUUUGUUUGAUUGCUUAUGACACAAGCACAUUUCUAGAUUUCUUGUCUUGAUUUCACAACCAACUAUUAUUUGCUUAUCAAUUUCCAUGAUGUAGGAUCUUAUCUGAGAGGCCCUCAUAUUGUAUGUGUAUUCUGACAGUGUCAUGUUGUAUUGAAGUUGACUUUGACUAGAUCAUAGGGCUAGGUCCAAUUUUUUUAGCAAUAAUAUGAGAAACCUACCCCCAAAAAAUAAAUAAUAAAAAUAUGGAAAUAAAAAAUUAUAAGAAACUGAAUCCUUCAAAUCUGACUGAAAAAGUUUUGGGGCAUUCCGAGAAUCGAACUCGGGACCUCUCGCACCCAAAGCGAGAAUCAUACCACUAGACCAAAUGCCCGUUUCUUGAUGUGUAUUUUAUUUAAAUGUUAAUUAAUGUCUUCUCCUAUUGCUCCUGAUAAUUUUAAAGUGAGUUGUAGCCACUCCAGUGGAUCAAACAUUUUCUAUUGUCAGGCCUUUUGGCAGUUCUUAUUUCCAUGCCUCUAGUGGAUGGAAUGCAAAAAACUGAAUAGAAAUGCUCUAGAGUGGAUUCCUUUUCUUUUCCCCAAUUGCUAGAGACAAAAGCAGGGAUGUUUAUAUGUCAAUAUGUGUGUAUAAAUGCACAGACACACAUGUAUAUGUUUAUUUUCAUUGUGACAAAUGAAUAAAAUGCCACAAAUGACAUUAGUAGGCACCAAA
Molecule: long non-coding RNA, 1636 nt
Organism: Populus euphratica (Euphrates poplar)
Lineage: Eukaryota; Viridiplantae; Streptophyta; Magnoliopsida; Malpighiales; Salicaceae
Exons: 5
Source: RefSeq, a predicted model, not a curated record